Molecule: ribosomal RNA, 253 nt
Filed under: uncultured bacterium
Lineage: Bacteria
Description: partial 16S ribosomal RNA
Rfam family: Bacterial small subunit ribosomal RNA
Source: RNAcentral
UACGAAGGGGGCUAGCGUUGCUCGGAAUCACUGGGCGUAAAGGGUGCGUAGGCGGGUCUUUAAGUCAGGGGUGAAAUCCUGGAGCUCAACUCCAGAACUGCCUUUGAUACUCUCUGUCUUGAAUAUGGUGGAGGUAAGCGGAAUAUGUCGUGUAGCGGUGAAAUGCUUAGAGAUGACAUAGAACACCUAUUGCGAAGGCAGCUUACUACGCCUAUAUUGACGCUGAGGCACGAAAGCGUGGGGAUCAAACAGG